CAUCGACGGUUCCCCUUCAAGGGAUUAAAAAGGGAACCCGGUGCCCGGCCGAUGGCCGGAAACCCGGGACUGCCCCCGCAACUGUAAUCGGUAAGCGCUUCGCCAUUCAAUGCCACUGGAUUUUCCGGGAAGGCGGGCAAAGCGCGAUGACCCGAGAGUCAGGAGACCUGCCCCGAUA
Molecule: non-coding RNA, 178 nt
Filed under: Dechloromonas agitata
Lineage: Bacteria; Pseudomonadati; Pseudomonadota; Betaproteobacteria; Rhodocyclales; Azonexaceae
Source: RNAcentral